RNAcentral lists this ribosomal RNA (581 nucleotides) under Pichia kudriavzevii. RNAcentral's name for it is "eukaryotic LSU rRNA". It matches the Rfam family "Eukaryotic large subunit ribosomal RNA", at positions 33 to 637 of the family's 3401-position model. The record is from RNAcentral. Lineage: Eukaryota; Fungi; Ascomycota; Pichiomycetes; Pichiales; Pichiaceae.
UUUGCAUUACCCCCAAAGCGGAGGAAUAGAAACCAACAGGGAUUGCCUCAGUAGCGGCGAGUGAAGCGGCAAGAGCUCAGAUUUGAAAUCGUGCUUUGCGGCACGAGUUGUAGAUUGCAGGUUGGAGUCUGUGUGGAAGGCGGUGUCCAAGUCCCUUGGAACAGGGCGCCCAGGAGGGUGAGAGCCCCGUGGGAUGCCGGCGGAAGCAGUGAGGCCCUUCUGACGAGUCGAGUUGUUUGGGAAUGCAGCUCCAAGCGGGUGGUAAAUUCCAUCUAAGGCUAAAUACUGGCGAGAGACCGAUAGCGAACAAGUACUGUGAAGGAAAGAUGAAAAGCACUUUGAAAAGAGAGUGAAACAGCACGUGAAAUUGUUGAAAGGGAAGGGUAUUGCGCCCGACAUGGGGAUUGCGCACCGCUGCCUCUCGUGGGCGGCGCUCUGGGCUUUCCCUGGGCCAGCAUCGGUUCUUGCUGCAGGAGAAGGGGUUCUGGAACGUGGCUCUUCGGAGUGUUAUAGCCAGGGCCAGAUGCUGCGUGCGGGGACCGAGGACUGCGGCCGUGUAGUCACGGAUGCUGCGACGACCC